Molecule: non-coding RNA, 73 nt
Organism: Podarcis lilfordi (Lilford's wall lizard)
Lineage: Eukaryota; Metazoa; Chordata; Lepidosauria; Squamata; Lacertidae
Source: the annotation of a GenBank genome assembly
GCUGGGAUAGCUCAGUCAGUAGACCAUGAGCAUCUUAAUCUCAGGGUUGUGGGUUCGAGCCCCACAUUGGGCA